ACAAUUUCAAACAUACACUAGUCUUUUACAAUUUGUUACAAUAUUACAAUUUACAGUCUACUACAGAACCAAAAAACUCCUUCGCACUUGGCUUCACGGCCUCGCACUUGAAAAAACUUAGGCCUAGAGCUCCUGUAAAAGAGUAAACAUAGCAUUAGAGUGUACUGCUGUUGAGGCUAGAACCAAACAACUUCAAUGGCAACACUAAAUGUAAGCGAUAGAACAGAUUUAAAAAGGUAAACAAAAUAUGCAUUAUGGUACACUUAAGAAGAUGUGGUAAAUGUUUAGCAAAAUUGUUCAUGGGAGUAACCUUAAUUGUUCAAAAUCAGAGUUGAAAAUGCACGGAAAUUAAGUUACAGAAGACAAUCAGGUAUUCUAUUUACACAGCAUUGUCAACAAUAAAUACAAUUCUCUAUGAGCGACAAAAUUAGUUUUCUUUACAUCCUUAAUCCUUGCAAGUUGAAAAAAGACAAGAUAGCAUCAAAUCAGGUUAUAGUUUGUGGGAAUCAAUGCACACAGCAUGAACGAACAAAAUGGGAAUCAAGUAGGCUCAUCCUCUUUCUCAUUCCAGAUUUGGUGUUUAUUGGCUUAGUAGCAGAGGCGGAAACAGAAGCAUUUGAGGUGGAAAGCUACGUACAUGUGCACUUGCGAGGCCACAUAUUCUGGGUCGUCCACCACACUAGCAACCAUCACGUACCCAUCGCCUUCAGCAAUGUUACUCCUACAGCAGCAACAGAUAACCAUUUAUAAAUUAAACGGACCAGCUAUGCAUACAAGGUUAUCUAAGCAUGUAAGUACAAUCCAGGUAUAAAGUGGAUGGCAAAGCGUGGUUGUUGUUGUUGCUACUUUAGCAAACUGAGCUAAUUAAUCUCAUCAACCUAAUACACUUCUCUCGAAAAAGAAAAAACAACUUAAAAUAUUGAGUACGGCAGCAACAUCUACUUGUUACUGGAGUUCCAGUUCAAGAUGGCCAGAGGCCACUUGGCACCAUGGAACCUGCACAAUUUCCACCAUAUAUAUGAAUGAGUUAGAAAAAAUACUAGUGUUGAACUACCCGGCCUCAUACAUAUAUAUACAUAGGAGCAAAUUUGAUUACACAAGAAGGUAGCUGGAGUGGUGGUCGACGAAAUGAAAAUCGACGGCCACGGCUCAGCGAGGAGACGAGCUCAACAUUGAAGUUUCGCAAAACAGGAAUACAUUAAUUUGAGAGUGGGUUUUAGUAGCUCAAGCUUAGUUAAGUUAAGCACUUAGUACUAAACAGCAACAACACUUGAACCGUAACAUGUCCAGAAAGAAAACAAAACAUGAGACCAGUAUUGAUAGCAAGUCCACGAAGGCCAUCCAAUGGUUUCAGCCACAUCCUAAUAAACCUGCAGCAUUCUUUAGCACCUAAUUAUCAGCAAGAAAUCAAUGUCUAUAUGAGCACCACCACAACAAAUCGGCACUAACACUUGGCCAUCGACGCGAUGCCCAAGCAAGGAAGCAGCUCGCACACGCAAGAUGAUGAUUGCAUACAUACAAAUCAUGUGCUGGCAGAAAAAAACCAAGCAUGAGCUCAUCUUCUCUCUCUGUUUGGUAACUAACAACCUAAAUAAAAUAAAAUAAAAACAUGACUUGUUCAUACAGAUCCCUCUAAAAUUCCUUGGGACAAGUGCAUCACAUAUUCGUCAACUUAGCAGCAGAAGUAGUGAGCACAGGAAGAGGGGGAGGGAGAUGGAGGAGCUACCUGCCGCGAUCGCAAUCGAAGCAGAGGAGCAGACCCCUCCUGCCCAUCCCCCACAUGCAGGACAGGGAUGUCGGCUGGGCACACCCCUACUCCUCCGCCUCCUCGAGCAGGAGACCCCCUUCCCCUACUGCUGCUUGGCGCGCCGCAUCACUAGUCACCUCCUCAUGCAAGAAGUACACAAUAAAUAGACAGAUGGUCAGUGAGGUACAUUUUCACAGCAAGAGAAGCUUAGAAUUAACAGAAAUACACACAUCAAAUGAAGUCACUAAGAUACUUAAGUCCACCACAUGGUGUAGACGCGUGCCUAGUUGGGUAGUUUUAAGCGCCGCCAGGGCAUGCGGUCAAAACUGUCCAGUUUUCCUGUUGGCAGGAGUAACAUAUCAAGUAUGAAAGCUUGGACUUGGAUCAAGAUAUUAACUAUUCUUUCAUGCAUAUGCAGGUGCAUCCUACAGACUACAGUACAGCACCAACUUGACACCCGAGUAGUCCAACUUGAUAGGUGGGAGUAACAUUUACAGUAUCAAGCUUGGACUUGCAUCCCACAUGUCAAUUCUUCUACUACCUAGAAGCUAGAGCAAGCAUAUGCAGGUGGUAUAACAUAACAUAAAGAGCAACAACUUGAUAAGUCUGCCCCAAUAGUCCAAGACGUGGAAAACAACAUAACAUAAAGAGCAACAACUUGAUAAGUCUGCCCCAAUAGUCCAAGUCAUGGAAAACAAUGUACAGCAACCCUAAGAAAUCUACUUGCUUGCUCAACAAACGUCGAACAACAGUAGGAACGCGCUAUAUGCUUCAUCACCACGUACCACCGUACGUACCAUGUUCCUCCUCCACCCAGCAGCACAGACUGGAUAGGAACAUUUACAGUAAAUCCAGCUUGGAUUAGCUCAAGCAUGAAAUAGAAGCCGAUUGAACCAGACCAGCCCAGCACAAGAAACUGAACUCUAGCUUCUACUCAAUUCCUCAUCAUUUAUACUCUGUGACACCAUGACAUGUAUGCAAGCACCGAAUAAUCAGAUCCAACUCGUAGCCUAACGCCUACGCAACAAACAAAAGCAUCAAAUCGAAGCAACCUGAGCUAGACCGAGCACACAGAUAACUGAACUUGGAGCACAGAAAUGGCUAUCCGAUUCAAGCAGCCACCAAACAGCCAGGGCCCCGCCGAGCGCGAACUUCCUGGAAAUAGUCCACCCAGCAGCAUCCGCGAUAGCUACAAAGCAGAAGCACUCCCGGCACUGGCACUGAUAUCCAUCAACUUGCUGCAGCCAGCUCGAAAUCCUGCCAAUAAAUGAGGAUAUUGUAUCAAGAUCAGUAGUGAUGAGCAUGCUGGUGUCCAACACAGCAACUUGUGAUAACAACCAAAAUGGUAGAAAUAAAUCACACAUCAUGCUUCAAACGGCAGCUCCAAAAUGCAAAUUAAGCAUAGAGUGUAUUAUGUUCCACAUAUCUCAAUACAGUCAUGAAAAUAUCAUCUAUGCCCUUUGAGGUAAUUCUGUUCUUGCACCUUUUUUUGUGACUGUCAAUCCUCUUUGAGUGUGGUUGGCAUUUCAAGUUGAGACAAGAAAAAAAAUUAGGAGAUCAAGAUCUUUUUCACUACUCUAUGAAUAUGUACCAUCGAUGAAAAGACUGCCUUAUCACACAGAUAAAAACACUGAUCCUAAAUAAACACUGACCCUAGGCUGCAGCAUCUGACAGUUUAGUUCAGGAAUAACAUCCAUUGUUGGUGAUGAGAACAACUAUGGUUCCAGUUGAUAUAUAGAAAACAUGCAGCAGAACGGCCCACUGGUAAAUUCUAUCGGACUUGAACACAUUAAUUACUUGCCACCUCUUUUGCCAAUUUUGUUUCUACGAAAGCACAAUGUUAAUUCAUAACUUAAUUAAAGAUGCAACACUACCAGCGGGAUGCAUGACCUUCAUGUGUGGGUUAAUGCCGCAUAAAAAACAAUGAUUUUACUUCAGGAAUAAUGAUUCUAGUGAAUGAUGCAAGAGAGAAACGGGUUCCAUCCGUCACAAUUAACACAAACAACUACUACUUCACCGUAAGCUAGCGAAUUCCAGGACAGACUCGCGGAGAAAGCAGUACUAGGAACGCGUGGAAGGGGAGAGGAGGUGAGGUGUGGUGGGGUACCGCGGCGGUGAAGAAGGUCUUGUCGCCGACCUCGGAGAGCACGGUCAUGGCCAGCGACUUGGUGAGCCCCUGCAGCAGGAAGGAACCAAGCGAAAAAAACAAGGUCAAUUCAGCAACCUGCACCUGUGCCGCGCAACGAGAAAGAGAGGAGAGAGGGGGAGGGAGGGGAGCUGACCUCGAGCAGAGACGGCGACAUGGCGGCCGGCGGCGGAGGGAGGCGCCGAUUCCGAUCUUGCAGGUGAGGAGAGGAUGUGCAGGGACCUUGACGAAGAACUCAGAGACGGCGGGGACCUUGAUGAUGAACCCCGCGGCGGGAUCCCAGACCUGGUGGGCGGGGACGGCCAUGUCACCGGCGCUGGGGCGGGAGCGGCAGGUGGAGCAGCGCCGGAGUUGGUGCGGGCGUGGGGUAGCAGGUCGCGGGUGUGGCCCCGCGGAGCAAGACCCUCCUGGCCGCAGUGCCGGAGUUGGUGCGGGCGUGAGGUAGCAGGUCGCGGGUGCGUCCCCGUGGAGCGAGGCCCUCCUGGCCGCGGCGGCGCGGCCCUCGGCGCCGCGGAGGCCGACGCCAAGAAGGGCAACCCCGCCGAGGAGGCAAUGGCGAGGGCGGGGGAGGCGGAGGCCUUGAGCGCGAACGUCGACGGCGGAGGAAGGGGACGGUGGACGAGGGGAGUCUUGGAUUGGAUCUGGAGAGAAUGGGGGCGGCGGCUGCCGAGGAGGAAGGGGAGGGGAUCGAGAGGAAGGGGAGAGGAGGAGCAGAGAGCGAGGGAAAGAAAGGAGGCGGGGGGUGGAUGGAAAAU
RNAcentral lists this long non-coding RNA (4648 nucleotides) under Triticum aestivum (bread wheat). RNAcentral's name for it is "long non-coding RNA (TAES_LNC013265)". Lineage: Eukaryota; Viridiplantae; Streptophyta; Magnoliopsida; Poales; Poaceae. The record is from RNAcentral.